GCAUCUGAAUCUUUCCCGCUCCUUGCUGUGAGGUGCAGGCCCGGGGACAUGGGAUGCUAAAGCAAAGCUGAGCAAAUCCAGGCAAGUUCNUUAUUUUUCAGAGUAACUUGUCUCUACAGCUCUGCGACAUAG
This is a small nucleolar RNA of Salvator merianae (Argentine black and white tegu), 132 nucleotides long. Lineage: Eukaryota; Metazoa; Chordata; Lepidosauria; Squamata; Teiidae. The record is from Ensembl.